GCGCCCAUGGCUCAAUCGGAUAGAGCGAUGGCCUCCGGAGCCGUAGGUUGGAAGUUCGAAUCCUCUCGGGCGCACCA
Molecule: transfer RNA, 77 nt
Filed under: Candidatus Atribacter alterifermentans
Lineage: Bacteria; Pseudomonadati; Atribacterota; Atribacteria; Atribacterales; Atribacteraceae
Description: tRNA-Arg
Rfam family: tRNA
About the family: Transfer RNA (tRNA) molecules are approximately 80 nucleotides in length. Their secondary structure includes four short double-helical elements and three loops (D, anti-codon, and T loops). Further hydrogen bonds mediate the characteristic L-shaped molecular structure. tRNAs have two regions of fundamental functional importance: the anti-codon, which is responsible for specific mRNA codon recognition, and the 3' end, to which the tRNAs corresponding amino acid is attached (by aminoacyl-tRNA synthetases). tRNAs cope with the degeneracy of the genetic code in two manners: having more than one tRNA (with a specific anti-codon) for a particular amino acid; and 'wobble' base-pairing, i.e. permitting non-standard base-pairing at the 3rd anti-codon position.
Source: RNAcentral